UUUCCAUAAUUGAUUUCUCAUCAAAUUCAGACAAGCUGGAAGGAUCGCCAUUUACAUCACCUGUUACACAUUUUUUAAGGGCAGCUUUAGAAUAAACAGCCUCAGGACCAAGUUGUUCUCUGCAUCCAGGUGUAGGACAUGUAUUAUCUUCCCCAGUUAAAUAAUCUGAUACACAUUGGUUGCAGAAUACAUGUCCGCAUAUGGUAACAACUGCAUCUUCAGGCACAUCAUCGCAUACGGAACACGUUACUAAAGAAGUUUCCAAUUGUUUCAAGAGAUUCUCCACCAUUUCCUUUGGGAGCUUCUUUGCCAUCUCUGAUGAAGCUCUUCCAACAGAAUUGUAACUCUCCCUUUUUACAAGUUUUGGGUGGUCACAAGCCUGCCGAAGUCGCAGAAGCAUCAACAAAAUAUUCGCAUAGUUUUGCUUCACAGUUCCAGCUGCAGCAUAUGCCUUAAAUUGUGAUCGUGAUUCCGCUUCUAAUUUGUUAUAGAAAGCUCGUUCCUCUGAAGAGAAAGCCACCUUCUUCAACUGUAUAGUUUUUGGUGGUAAGUUUAUAAUUGGCUCACCAUCAAUCACGG
This 579-nucleotide unclassified non-coding RNA is filed under the name Hevea brasiliensis (rubber tree). Lineage: Eukaryota; Viridiplantae; Streptophyta; Magnoliopsida; Malpighiales; Euphorbiaceae. The record is from RNAcentral.